Long non-coding RNA from Oncorhynchus keta (chum salmon), 648 nucleotides. RefSeq lists it as uncharacterized. The record is from RefSeq and is a predicted model, not a curated record. The transcript is spliced from 3 exons. NCBI's taxonomy places the organism in Eukaryota, Metazoa, Chordata, Actinopteri, Salmoniformes, Salmonidae.
CUUAGGUUGGAGUCAUUAAAACUAGUUUACAGACACUUAGGUUGGAGUCAUUAAAACUAGUUUACAGACACUUAGGUUGGAGUCAUUAAAACUAGUUUACAGACACUUAGGUUGGAGUCAUUAAAACUAGUUUACAUACACUUAGGUUGGAGUCAUUAAAACUAGUUUACAUACACUUAGGUUGGAGUCAUUAAAACUAGUUUACAUACACUUAGGUUGGAGUCAUUAAAACUAGUUUACAGACACUUAGGUUGGAGUCAUUAAAACUAGUUUACAUACACUUAGGUUGGAGUCAUUAAAACUAGUUUACAUACACUUAGGUUGGAGUCAUUAAAACUAGUUUACAUACACUUAGGUUGGAGUCAUUAAAACUAGUUUACAGACACUUAGGUUGGAGUCAUUAAAACUAGUUUACAGACACUUAGGUUGGAGUCAUUAAAACUAGUUUACAGACACUUAGGUUGGAGUCAUUAAAACUAGUUUACAGACACUUAGGUUGGAGUCAUUAAAACUUGUUUUUCAACCACUCCACAAAUUUAUUGUUAACAAACUAUAGUUUUGGCAAGUCUGUUAGGACAUUACUUUGUGCAUGACACAAGUCGUUUUUCCAACAAUUGUUUACAGACAGAUUAUUUCACUUAUAAUUCA